This 44-nucleotide transfer RNA is filed under the name Clostridium sp. CAG:307. It matches the Rfam family "tRNA", at positions 29 to 71 of the family's 71-position model. From Rfam's summary of the family: Transfer RNA (tRNA) molecules are approximately 80 nucleotides in length. Their secondary structure includes four short double-helical elements and three loops (D, anti-codon, and T loops). The record is from Rfam by way of RNAcentral. Lineage: Bacteria; Bacillati; Bacillota; Clostridia; Eubacteriales; Clostridiaceae.
GACUUGUAAUCAGUAGGUUGUGGGUUCAAGUCCUAUUUUCGGCA